Molecule: long non-coding RNA, 478 nt
Organism: Planococcus citri (citrus mealybug)
Lineage: Eukaryota; Metazoa; Arthropoda; Insecta; Hemiptera; Pseudococcidae
Exons: 3
Source: RefSeq, a predicted model, not a curated record
GAACAAUCGACACACAUGACACUUAUACUUACGUAACACUUUCUUCCACCCUAAAAAUAUAUUUCAACUGUAUACAAAGAUUGAAUAGAAUCUAAACUAGGCUGGACGUUUACGAAACACAUUUUUAUGCCAAACCUGACGGAAAUUUGGAUUUUUCUAAAACGAGUUCCUGCAUCGAAGUAAUUACGGAUGAUUACGACGCCAAAGAAGCGGAUUUCUUUUUGAAACUCGAAAGUAACGAAGAGCUGCGAAAGCUAUACGAUAAAUACAAUGUGCAAUCUGUUCAACGAUACGCGAACGUUUCGCCAAAUGUUAAAAUAACUGGCAUACAGAUCUCGUUACUUGGUAUCGCCAUAUUUAUCGCCGUCGCGUCUAUAAUUUCUGGUUAUACGUUGUGUUGUUCUUAUAAAAGGUCUGUUUCAUGUCUAAUCGCUUUACUAUUGAAUUCGAAAGUUUCUUAUCGAGCUGUUGUAGCAUC